UCUUUCUUCAAUUAUAACCUACCAAAUCAACUUUAUAGAAAUCACUCUUCCAUCUUCUCCAUUCACAGACGGCGGACGAACUAGGGUUCGAUUGUAGGUUAUGUGGGAAUGAUUUGAAUGAGCAAAUUAAUAUUACGCAACACAUCCACAAUCUUCCAGUCACGGCGCAUAGAGAAGGCAACGAAUCUAGGAUUUUGGAGAGAUGUAAUGGCGAAGACGAAGGUUGGUGCUGGAGGUUCGUAACAAUGGUUUCCUUUUGUUUACAAUGGUUUAAGAUUCGUAAGCGGUGUUCUUUUUAUUACUGUGGAAUCCAUCUGCAGUCUCUCUAUAAAUCUCUUAGGUUUCUUCGCUUGUUGUGAAAAAUCGGUAGCUUAUGUGUAGAAUCAGUGAGAUUUUUGAAAGUUCCCCUUUUCUUUAAACGAUUGUGGGGUUUUAUAUGUUUGUAGUCCAAAAUUGGGGUUUUUUAGAUUUGGGGUAUAAUUUUCUAUUGAUUCCAGUAAUUGAUUUUUUCCAUCUUGGGUGCGGAUGUGGGAUUAUGUGCGUGGAACCCAUCUGCACUCUUUCUCUCACUUUUAAAUUUCUUGGAUUAUUGUGAAAAAUUGAUUCCCUAUGUUACGAAUUUUUUUGAAUUAGUUACGAAUGUUUUUGAAUUUGUUACGAAUUCCUUAUGUUAAGAAUAUUAGGCAAUUUAUGUUUUGGGUUCACGAACCAAAAGUUGAAGCGCCACUUUUUUUUUGGGAAAUUCUAGGUCUACGAUAUUCAAAGGCGGCGAAUGAGUUGGGCAAAGAAAUCCUUUGUCAUUGAACCGUACUCUCUCGUGAAUACUGCUCUGUUGUGAAAUCGCGCGAUAUUGCAAGGUUGUGGAGUGAGCUGCACUACUUCGUGUGAUCUAAAAAUGGCAAGGAUUAAAGGUAAUAAAUCAUGAAAUAUUGGAUACUGGAGUUCGUUAGAUUAGCUUUUUCUCUUCUCAGUUUCAGUUUAUAAUGGAACACUCAUUUUUGGUUCAUCUAGUUCUUGACGUUUGAGAAUAUAACACCCAUUUUUGGUUGAUAGAUUUAGGUUAUGGGUUCGGGAACCAAAAUUUUUGGUAGUCCAUUUGAGUAAUCUAUGUUGGUAGUAUUUUUUUCCGGUCUGUUGCUUUCUUGUUUCCACUAUUCGUGUAGAUGGCUUGCUUGCUGACACAAAUAUUUGUGAUUAUUAGUUACGAAUCACAUCGCAAUUACAAACGAAUUAAUUGCGCAUGCUGAUAUCAUGGUAGCAGUGUAUAGUGGAUGAGUUUUGGGGGGUUCAUGCAUUUUAUUAUGAAUUGUGUCAUUGUGAUGAUAUCAUUUAUAUGUUUGCAUCGAUUAUUUACAGUAUAAUUUUAGUUUUUGUCCACCAAAAAUUUCUACUCAUUUCAGUUGGAAUGAGGUGUCUUUGAAACUUACAAAGGCCAUGCCUGAUUUUGUUCUUAAUUGUUGUGAUUUUCUGUGUGACUUGAAAUGUAAUUGGGAUUGCAUUGACACAUGAUAAAUUUGGAAAAUAUGAUUACAAAUCAUAUGUUAGAUGUUUACGAAUUUUUGGGUAUAUGAUUAGGAUGAGGUGGAUUAUUAGAAAUUUUGAUAGAAUAAAAUUUUGAUGGAAGUUACUUUGGGAUGCGAAUAUUGUUUGUUUAAUUACUUAAUAAUUAUUACGAACUUUAUGUUAAUUUAUUUUGAUUUCUAAUGUGUAUAAUGGGUGGGGCAGCGUAUGAUCUUUGUUGAUUACUAACAAUGUUGAUUCGAAUUUGAUUAACGUGGCAUGCUUUAUACCCAGGUACUGAGACAAUAAGGGGAAGAAGAUUGCACGUUGGAUUGUUUGGGAACCUGGCUAUAAACA
RNAcentral lists this long non-coding RNA (1857 nucleotides) under Salvia miltiorrhiza (redroot sage). RNAcentral's name for it is "long non-coding RNA (SMIL_LNC006030)". Lineage: Eukaryota; Viridiplantae; Streptophyta; Magnoliopsida; Lamiales; Lamiaceae. The record is from RNAcentral.